CUCUAGUAAAAGUGACUCUUCUCCUUCCCAAAAAAAAAAAACAAAACAGUCGUCUAUGUAGCAUCUAUAGGACUAGAUUCGUCACCAAGGGAUGUCAUUUCCAGAUAAAUUAGUUUUCCCAGAAGGUCAUAAAGAUGUUAGCAUAAAAGGGUGCGAAUCUAGUCCCCAUUGCUGUACCUGAAGAUAUAUCUCUUUAUUACGCCAAAAGAAUUUGUUCGACAAUAUAAAAUUGAUACACUCUAUUAAAAAUUCUACUUUUUCCAUAUUCAUCUCUGCUUUAUCGUAGAUAGUAUACCUAAUGGUUUGUAAACCUAAAUGAUGUUGAAUGACUGUAUAUAAUGAUGUUACUAGCCAUAGGUUAUUGUUCCAAGUAUUUCUUUCUAUCAAUUUUAAAAGCUCACCACUGUUUUUCAAAUAUGUUUGGGGCAUCUUAACAUAAGGUUGUAGUAGAACACCUAUGUAUUUUGAUACAUCGUAAUAUGUAAUGGCCAUGAUAACAAUACCACCCCCCUCAUCUGCAAGCUUUAUUAUGAUGUUUUUAUUAUCAUUCAAUUCCUUAAGUGCUUUCCUUUCAAGUAUAGUUACAUUUUGUACAGUGUUGGGUAUCUUGAUGGGAUAUGUUUUAAUUCACUAAUCACAG
This is a non-coding RNA of Pelobates cultripes (western spadefoot toad), 640 nucleotides long. NCBI's taxonomy places the organism in Eukaryota, Metazoa, Chordata, Amphibia, Anura, Pelobatidae. The record is from the annotation of a GenBank genome assembly.